AUGGCAACCUUCCCUGGCCAAGUUUCCACCUAUUUCCUGGCAGCCUGGACAGGCCCAGGUCCUGCCACACACUGGCCUCUCUACGCCCAGCUCAUGCCUCACAGUGGCCUCUCCAGGCCCAGCUCCUGUCCCGGGACAUCAUCUCCAGGCCCAAAACUUCCUCAAGUCGGCCUCUCCAGGCCCAGUUGCUGCCUCCCGGCAUUCUCUCCAGGCCUAGCUCUUCCUCCUGGCUGUAUCUACAAGACCAACUCCUGCCUCACAACAACCUUUUAUGGCUCAGCUCCUGCCCAACUACUGCCGGCCUUUGUAGGCCCAAAACUUCCUCAAGUCAAGCUCUUUAGGCCCACCUUCUGCCUUGCAGUGGCCUGUACAGACCCAGCUCUGG
RNAcentral lists this long non-coding RNA (385 nucleotides) under Homo sapiens (human). RNAcentral describes it as "non-protein coding lnc-VKORC1L1-3:1". Lineage: Eukaryota; Metazoa; Chordata; Mammalia; Primates; Hominidae. The record is from RNAcentral.